GACACAUAACGAGAACUCGAACAGUAUUACACAUUCAUCGACAAGAAAAUGCAUCCAGGAUAGUUAAAAAUUAAUAACCUUGAGAGACUUUAUCGCUUUGCUGUUUUUUGUUGUUCUUUUAUUCAUGUAAGUGUUCCCACAAUAUAAUACAAUCGUUUUUUAUUUAAAUAUCCAAUUGAAAAAAUCUCAAUUGCAUUCAUACGUCAGACCAUCGCAACACCUUUGAUCUCAAUCAAGAAAAAAGAAAAUAAAAAGACAAGUGAAGUAAAUAUAGUAAAACUUCAAAAAUUGGAUCAUCGAAUAAGAGAGAAACAUAAACAAUUAGGAUGGUGAAAAAAGAGAAACGCUAUGUGCAAAACAUCUACUACAAAAAUAACGAAAUCGAUAGGUGGUGAAAGAAAAAUUGGUCAUCAAGUGCGUGGUGAAACGAA
Molecule: long non-coding RNA, 431 nt
Filed under: Polistes fuscatus (common paper wasp)
Lineage: Eukaryota; Metazoa; Arthropoda; Insecta; Hymenoptera; Vespidae
Description: uncharacterized LOC122525018, transcript variant X2
Source: RNAcentral